AUUAAUAAAUGAGCCUGUGACCCAAAUUGCCUUUCUCGCUUCCAUCUUCCCCACCUGCGAAACAAUUUUCUUGUUCUUCUUCACAGUUCACAGAACUGAAAUCGGACUCCGGCGAACUCCAGUGGCACCAAUACUGAUCUGGUGAGGUUGUGCGAGGGAUAGCUACGUGUUCGUGCUAAUAAUUUAAUAAACCCUUCCGUUGUUUUUUUUUUUAAAUUUUUUAUCCCCUUGUUUUUUUUUUCCAGGGAAUUCUUUGUUUUGGCUGAAAAUCUUUUGGGAGGUAUCUCUCCAGUUA
Long non-coding RNA from Tarenaya hassleriana, 295 nucleotides. RefSeq lists it as uncharacterized. NCBI's taxonomy places the organism in Eukaryota, Viridiplantae, Streptophyta, Magnoliopsida, Brassicales, Cleomaceae. The record is from RefSeq and is a predicted model, not a curated record. The transcript has 2 exons.